Molecule: non-coding RNA, 106 nt
Organism: Mycena latifolia
Lineage: Eukaryota; Fungi; Basidiomycota; Agaricomycetes; Agaricales; Mycenaceae
Source: the annotation of a GenBank genome assembly
GCCUCCGUAGUCAAACGGUUAACUUCACCAACUUUCGAGGGAGACGUCCCUUACGCAAUGAGGUGGUUAACAUGGGAAGCCGAGGGUUCGAUCCCCUCAGGAGGCA